ACAGGGGGAUAGUCCAGAGAAAUUUGGCAUAAUACCCCAUACGAUCAUUUAUUGGCAUCGAUAGAUGAGGAAAACUCCGGUGGUAGAAGAUGGGCAUGCGUCCUAUUAGUUAGUUGGUAAGGUAACGGCUUACCAAGACAUCGAUAGGUAGGGGUCCUGAGAGGGAGAUCCCCCACACUGGUACUGAGACACGGACCAGACUCCUACGGGAGGCAGCAGUGAGGAAUAUUGGACAAUGGAGGCAACUCUGAUCCAGCCAUGCCGCGUGCAGGAAGACGGCCCUACGGGUUGUAAACUGCUUUUAUACAGGAAGAAACGCCGCUACGUGUAGCGGUUUGACGGUACUGUACGAAUAAGGAUCGGCUAACUCCGUGCCAGCAGCCGCGGUAAUACGGAGGAUCCAAGCGUUAUCCGGAAUCAUUGGGUUUAAAGGGUCCGUAGGCGGUUUUUUAAGUCAGAGGUGAAAUCCUGCAGCUCAACUGUAGCAUUGCCUUUGAUACUGAAAGACUUGAGUUAUUGUGAAGUAGUUAGAAUGUGUAGUGUAGCGGUGAAAUGCAUAGAUAUUACACAGAAUACCGAUUGCGAAGGCAGAUUACUAACAAUAUACUGACGCUGAGGGACGAAAGCGUGGGUAGCGAACAGGAUUAGAUACCCUGGUAGUCCACGCCGUAAACGAUGGAUACUAGCUGUUCGACCAACAUUGGUUGGUUGAGUGGCUAAGCGAAAGUGAUAAGUUCC
Molecule: ribosomal RNA, 738 nt
Filed under: uncultured Bacteroidota bacterium
Lineage: Bacteria; Pseudomonadati; Bacteroidota
Description: bacterial SSU rRNA
Rfam family: Bacterial small subunit ribosomal RNA
Source: RNAcentral